RNAcentral lists this ribosomal RNA (465 nucleotides) under Vreelandella stevensii. RNAcentral's name for it is "partial 16S ribosomal RNA". It matches the Rfam family "Bacterial small subunit ribosomal RNA", at positions 338 to 795 of the family's 1533-position model. The record is from RNAcentral. Lineage: Bacteria; Pseudomonadati; Pseudomonadota; Gammaproteobacteria; Oceanospirillales; Halomonadaceae.
CCUACGGGCGGCAGCAGUGGGGAAUAUUGGACAAUGGGGGCAACCCUGAUCCAGCCAUGCCGCGUGUGUGAAGAAGGCCCUCGGGUUGUAAAGCACUUUCAGUGAGGAAGAACGCCUGGUGGUUAAUACCCAUCAGGAAAGACAUCACUCACAGAAGAAGCACCGGCUAACUCCGUGCCAGCAGCCGCGGUAAUACGGAGGGUGCGAGCGUUAAUCGGAUUUACUGGGCGUAAAGCGCGCGUAGGUGGCUUGAUAAGCCGGUUGUGAAAGCCCCGGGCUCAACCUGGGAACGGCAUCCGGAACUGUCAAGCUAGAGUGCAGGAGAGGAAGGUAGAAUUCCCAGUGUAGCGGUGAAAUGCGUAGAGAUCGGGAGGAAUACCAGUGGCGAAGGCGGCCUUCUGGACUGAAACUGACACUGAGGUGCGAAAGCGUGGGUAGCAAACAGGAUUAGAUACCCCAGUAGUC